RNAcentral lists this ribosomal RNA (232 nucleotides) under uncultured bacterium. RNAcentral describes it as "partial 16S ribosomal RNA". It matches the Rfam family "Bacterial small subunit ribosomal RNA", at positions 99 to 334 of the family's 1533-position model. The record is from RNAcentral.
CGGACGGGUGAGUAAUGUCUGGGAAACUGCCUGAUGGAGGGGGAUAACUACUGGAAACGGUAGCUAAUACCGCAUAACGUCGCAAGACCAAAGAGGGGGACCUUCGGGCCUCUUGCCAUCGGAUGUGCCCAGAUGGGAUUAGCUAGUAGGUGGGGUAACGGCUCACCUAGGCGACGAUCCCUAGCUGGGCUGAGAGGAUGACCAGCCACACUGGAACUGAGACACGGUCCAG